This 320-nucleotide unclassified non-coding RNA is filed under the name Homo sapiens (human). Its description in RNAcentral is "ArfGAP with coiled-coil, ankyrin repeat and PH domains 1 (ENSG00000288169.1)". The record is from RNAcentral. Lineage: Eukaryota; Metazoa; Chordata; Mammalia; Primates; Hominidae.
GCUGACGCCGAAACAGAAGCCUGUGCUGUGGGGCCUCGGAAAGGGGCUGGGCCAGCGCCGGGGCCAGGCUCGAGAAAGGCUGCGCGAAGCUACGACUGGCAAAGAUGAGGGAGGCUGAAGCGGCCCAGGGGCAGGCAGGAGAUGAGACGUAUCUUGACAUCUUCCGCGACUUCUCCCUCAUGGCGUCAGACGACCCGGAGAAGCUGAGCCGUCGCAGUCAUGACCUCCACACGCUGUGACCCGAGGCCCACGGGGCCCGCGCCUGCCUCCCUUCCCCGCCACCGGGCCCUCUGCCAUUAAAGCCUCCGUGCUUCGCUCUU